GACGAACGCUGGCGGCGUGCUUAACACAUGCAAGUCGAACGGAAAGGCCCUGCUUGCAGGGUACUCGAGUGGCGAACGGGUGUGUAACACGUGGGUGAUCUGCCCUGCACUUCGGGAUAAGCCUGGGAAACUGGGUCUAAUACCGGAUAGUAGCCAUUUUUAGUGUGAUGGUUGGAAAGUUUUUUCGGUGUAGGAUGAGCUCGCGGCCUAUCAGCUUGUUGGUGGGGUAAUGGCCUACCAAGGCGGCGACGGGUAGCCGGCCUGAGAGGGUGGACGGCCACAGUGGGACUGAGAUACGGCCCAGACGCCGACGGGAGGCAGAAGGGGGGAAGAUUGCACAAUGGGCGCAAGCCUGAUGCAGCGACGCCGCGGGGGGGAUGACGGCCUUCGGGUUGUAAAAUCCUUUCGCUAGGGACGAAGCUUUUUGUGACGGUACCUAGAGAAGAAGCACCGGCUAACUACGUG
This 465-nucleotide ribosomal RNA is filed under the name uncultured bacterium. RNAcentral describes it as "partial 16S ribosomal RNA". It matches the Rfam family "Bacterial small subunit ribosomal RNA", at positions 28 to 507 of the family's 1533-position model. The record is from RNAcentral.